AUGUAUAUAUAUAUAUAUAUGUAUAUAUAUAUAUAUGUAUAUAUAUAUAUAUAUAUAUAUAUAUAUAUAUAUAGAGAGAGAGAGAGAGAGAGAGAGAUUUUUAUUUUUUUUUACAUCUCAGGUACUUGUGAUGGAAACAUUUACAUUCCUAUCAUCGUAAUUCUAUGUGAAGCAAUGCUGCUUUCUUUAGCCGUAAAUGUCUACAUUAUCUGCAUGACAAGAUAUAGAGACUCGUGCCAGAACUUUUACAAUAAUUAUAUUGCUGUCUGGUGUAGUCGUGGAACAGCGAAUGAGCCUGAGCAAUCAGAUGACCAGGUUCCAGACGACACAUUAUACUCUCUGAGUGUUUCCAGAGACAGAGAGUGUGAGGAACGAGCAGAAGUGAACCCCAAUGAGUGUGUGUACUCUGCUGUGAAAACCUAG
This 423-nucleotide long non-coding RNA is filed under the name Carassius auratus (goldfish). Its description in RNAcentral is "lncRNA (ENSCARG00000035430.1)". The record is from RNAcentral. Lineage: Eukaryota; Metazoa; Chordata; Actinopteri; Cypriniformes; Cyprinidae.